This 21-nucleotide non-coding RNA is filed under the name Arabidopsis thaliana (thale cress). The record is from RNAcentral. Lineage: Eukaryota; Viridiplantae; Streptophyta; Magnoliopsida; Brassicales; Brassicaceae.
AAGAAGUUGGUGUCUCGCUCG